CACCGAAGGCGAUGGGCGGACUGAAUGCGACCGUACAAUUGCUCUCCUCGUGUUGCGAAAAGCCUUUCAGAU
This 72-nucleotide small nucleolar RNA is filed under the name Drosophila virilis. RNAcentral describes it as "snoRNA:GJ25463". Lineage: Eukaryota; Metazoa; Arthropoda; Insecta; Diptera; Drosophilidae. The record is from RNAcentral.